UACGUAGGGGGCAAGCGUUGUCCGGAUUUAUUGGGCGUAAAGAGCGUGUAGGCGGUCAGGUAGGUCCGUUGUGAAAACUCGAGGCUCAACCUCGAGACGCCGAUGGAAACCAUCUGACUAGAGUCCGGAAGAGGAGAGUGGAAUUCCUGGUGUAGCGGUGAAAUGCGCAGAUAUCAGGAAGAACACCCGUGGCUAAGGCGGCUCACUGGGACGGUACUGACGCUGAGACGCGAAAGCGUGGGGAGCAAACAGG
This 253-nucleotide ribosomal RNA is filed under the name uncultured bacterium. RNAcentral describes it as "partial 16S ribosomal RNA". It matches the Rfam family "Bacterial small subunit ribosomal RNA", at positions 524 to 776 of the family's 1533-position model. The record is from RNAcentral.